RNAcentral lists this ribosomal RNA (252 nucleotides) under uncultured bacterium. RNAcentral's name for it is "partial 16S ribosomal RNA". It matches the Rfam family "Bacterial small subunit ribosomal RNA", at positions 524 to 776 of the family's 1533-position model. The record is from RNAcentral.
UACGUAGGGUGCAAGCGUUAAUCGGAAUUACUGGGCGUAAAGCGUGCGCAGGCGGUUGUGCAAGACAGAUGUGAAAUCCCCGGGCUCAACCUGGGAAUUGCAUUUGUGACUGCACGGCUAGAGUGUGUCAGAGGGGGGUAGAAUUCCACGUGUAGCAGUGAAAUGCGUAGAGAUGUGGAGGAAUACCGAUGGCGAAGCAGCCCCCUGGGAUAACACUGACGCUCAUGCACGAAAGCGUGGGGAGCAAACAGG